UGACUUUCAACCAAAACUAAUAACCCCCAAAAUAUUGAAAGACCAAAACACUAAGGCCCAAAUUAUUUAACAAACGAUGAUCUCAUUAGUUAUAACAAUCCAAUUCCUCUUAUAGAAAAAUCAACCGAAUGGCCCAACGCCCUCUUACUUCUUAUUAGCUAAAGCCAAAAUCCUUUUAUACUAAGAAAAUCUCCACAAUACAAAUAUCCAUAUCUGAUGACUGAACAUUGGUUAAGCUAAGUAAUUAAAGAAUUUAAACAAUUCUAAAAUCGAUGCUCAAAAUUAAUCUUUUAUAUAGACAUAUUUAUACACAGAUUUAGGCAUAAACAAUAUAGGGGGAAAAUUCUGGAUAAAGAAUGAUUGAGAAACGCAUGAAUAGGUUAAAUGGACAUUUACCCAAAUAGUUUUAGAAUUCUUUUUAGAGUACUAAUACUUUUUUACCGGAUUAGUAUGCCUAUAAAUAAGCAAAGGAUGAGACAAGGAACUGCUGAACAUUUGUGCCUAGAAUUAAAACCCGUACAGGAUAAAAUAAAAUAGCAAGAGGAACAUCACUUAUAGAUACAAAUGAACUUAUGUAUAGAUAGCUCAAGUUUAAUUAAUCCUAAUAGAAUACCAAACAAAAAGAAAUGAUUUCAAAUUGAAAGGACAUAUGAAUGAACAAUUGCACAUGACUGCUUUCUCUAGCUCUAUAAUGCACAUAUCGUUUUCAUACAAUUAUAUUUCAUAUCGAAAUGUAAUCCAGAUAUUCAAGAGAGGUACCUGGAUACAACAAGUGAACAGAAAAAGAAAACAGAGCUCUGAAAUCAGCAAGUGACAGUAGAAAAUAACAAAAGCAAUGGCAAGAAGAUAGCAGGAAACCAACAAUACUACAACUUUCAAUUCAAAUCGGCAAACCCAACAAUAUGGAAAUAAGCUAUUAGACCAUGUGAAGGAAAAUCAGCUUGAACAUCUCUUUUUGUUUUUUUUAUUUCCCUAGCUUUGAUCUUAAGGAGAGGAUAAUUAGAAAAUUGCACUCAAGAGAAUUAGCCUAGGUAUUUUGUUGAAGAUUUCCUCUGUAAAAAAACCUUCCUUGUUUUGUGAGCUAAGAGUGCUUUUAUAAGGGAUAUAAAAUUCAGUCCCUUUCUAAUGUGCACUCCCUUAAUUUUAAGAAAAAGAAUCUUUUCAUAACCAACUCUAUAGUUGUCCCUCUCUUAUCCAAAUUUCAGCAUUUUUUUUAAGACUAGAAAUGGACAGCUGAUGCUUUUCUAGAAUCUUCCUAAACAAGCACCCAAAAAUCCCUAUUUUUACUUUCCAAACAACCCCUUCAACCUCUGUUUAUUACAAAUAACCACUCCUAAUUUGACCAAAUUUUAAAUCUUCAAAUGCCCUGAAUUUCCAUAUUCCCUUUUCCCCCUUCAAGUUCAGGGAACAUGCAGAUGCAAGCAACAUUAGCCAAACACACUAUUUAACAAAUAAUUAUUAACUUAUGAGAUUAAACUAAUUAGACACAAAUUAACUAACUGAUUAAGCACUUUAAUUGAAGCAGAAUACAUGACUGGAUUCAGAUAUCACUCCGGCCAAAAUAGAAAAUCAAGCCAAAACCAUAAUAUUAACCUAAACCACGCAAUUAACUAUUGACUAAGCAUGAGAAAUUCUAACAAUCCAUAUAUUAUAGUUACCAAAAUUUCUUCAUUUUUUCGAUCAAAAGAAAAGGAAAACAGAUAAAAACAUAUUAAAGAAGGAGAGAAGAAAAUAAAGGAAAAGAAGAAGAAAAAAACAAGGAAAGAGAAGGAGGAAAAGAGAAGCAAAAAUACCUAGACUAGGCAGAUGAACGGUUGGCUCAGACAAAACUCCGGCCUUCUCCGAUUUAAGCCGAAAUUAGUGUUAAUCGAAUGUUCUUGUUGAGAACAAACGAUUAACACAAGUUUCAGGCCAAAUCGCUCUUGGAAACUUUGAAGGCAUGGCACUUAGGUUUUUUGAUGUUACUAGAUCUAAAAUUGGCCGAAUUUAGCUGAGCUUUUAAGGAAAUUGAUAUGGAAUCUAGGCUUAGGAGUGUGAGGGGAGUUUAGAACAUGAAUUUAGAGUUGUUUGUACAUGGUUGAGUGUUGGCCGCCGGCUAAUGGAUUGAGAGAGUUUUGGGGCAACUAGGUUAGAGUUGUAGUGAGAGAUGGGGGAAAUGGGGGG
Molecule: long non-coding RNA, 2163 nt
Filed under: Nicotiana tabacum (common tobacco)
Lineage: Eukaryota; Viridiplantae; Streptophyta; Magnoliopsida; Solanales; Solanaceae
Description: long non-coding RNA (NTAB_LNC006358)
Source: RNAcentral